Molecule: long non-coding RNA, 198 nt
Organism: Hyalella azteca
Lineage: Eukaryota; Metazoa; Arthropoda; Malacostraca; Amphipoda; Hyalellidae
Exons: 2
Source: RefSeq, a predicted model, not a curated record
ACGGUGGAUAUUAUGGUUUUGGAUAUCCAUGCCGAUUUUACACUAUCGUCUAUGGAAGAAUCGUCUGUGACUAUCGAUACUAUGGGUGAUAUGGACCGGAAAAAGCUCCUGGAACUUGACAUUGACACCGGACAAAAUUUUACAUUACUUGUUAACUUAAGUUGUUCCUAUAUAUAUUAUCGAAAUAAUUUAAAACUU